RNAcentral lists this transfer RNA (71 nucleotides) under Marmota monax (woodchuck). RNAcentral's name for it is "tRNA.Ala". It matches the Rfam family "tRNA". Rfam says of the family: Transfer RNA (tRNA) molecules are approximately 80 nucleotides in length. Their secondary structure includes four short double-helical elements and three loops (D, anti-codon, and T loops). Lineage: Eukaryota; Metazoa; Chordata; Mammalia; Rodentia; Sciuridae. The record is from RNAcentral.
GGGGUUGUGGCUCAGUGGUAGAGUGCUCGCCUAGCACAUGUGAGGCCCUGGGUUCAAGCCUCAGCACCACA